CAGGCCUAACACAUGCAAGUCGAACGCCCUCUUCGGAGGGAGUGGCAGACGGGUGAGUAACGCGUGGGAACCUACCUAUCAGUACGGAACAACUCAGGGAAACUUGUGCUAAUACCGUAUACGUCCUUCGGGAGAAAGAUUUAUCGCUGAUAGAUGGGCCCGCGUUAGAUUAGCUAGUUGGUGAGGUAAUGGCUCACCAAGGCGACGAUCUAUAGCUGGUCUGAGAGGAUGAUCAGCCACACUGGAACUGAGACACGGUCCAGACUCCUACGGGAGGCAGCAGUGGGGAAUAUUGGACAAUGGGCGCAAGCCUGAUCCAGCCAUGCCGCGUGAGUGAUGAAGGCCCUAGGGUUGUAAAGCUCUUUCAACGGUGAAGAUAAUGACGGUAGCCGUAGAAGAAGCCCCGGCUAACUUCGUGCCAGCAGCCGCGGUAAUACGAAGGGGGCGAGCGUUGUUCGGAAUCACUGGGCGUAAAGCGUACGUAGGCGGAUAGAUUAGUUAGGGGUGAAAUCCCGAGGCUCAACCUCGGAACUGCCUCUAAUACUGUCUAUCUAGAGAUCGAGAGAGGUGAGUGGAAUUCCUAGUGUAGAGGUGAAAUUCGUAGAUAUUAGGAAGAACACCAGUGGCGAAGGCGGCUCACUGGCUCGAU
RNAcentral lists this ribosomal RNA (649 nucleotides) under uncultured bacterium. RNAcentral's name for it is "bacterial SSU rRNA". It matches the Rfam family "Bacterial small subunit ribosomal RNA", at positions 43 to 738 of the family's 1533-position model. The record is from RNAcentral.